UCAGUUUAAUAUUAUUAUAAUUAUUUGUAUUUGUUUUUAAUAAAAUUAUUUUUAUUCUAAGUAUUUAUAGAAAAGAUAUUUUUUAAUUUUUUAACUGUGAAGGUUAUUUUAUUUUGUCAAUAAAGUAUUUUUUAUUUAAAGUACCUUUUGCAUCAGGGUUUAUUAAAAUAAAAAAAUUAUUUUUUUUUCUCGAAGUCUUAAGAUUUAAUAAUAUAUGUUUUUCCUUGUUUCAACAUGGUUUAUAAUAUAUUUUUAGAGGUUAUAUGCUUUUCAUUUAAGAUAAUAUCUAGUUUUUUAAUAAAUGAAUUUAAUUCAGGAUUAUUUUAGCUUUAUUUUAAUUUUAUUAUUAAAAGUUAUUUAUUCUAAUAUUUCUGGGGAUAAUCUCAGAUUUAUUUUUAAAAGAUUUAUUUUUAAGAUUAUUUUUAGGAUCAAAAAUUUCCAUUUUUAUUUUGUUAUAAUAAUUUUUCUUUAAUUGAGAUUUUUUUUUCUUUAAUUUUUUAUUGAAAUUUUUUAAAAACUUUGUUUUUUAUUAAUAAUGAUAAAAUUAGUAAUUUUGUAAAUUUAGUAAUUGGAACUCGGCAAUUAUUAUUUUCACCUGUUUAACAAAAACAUGGUCUUUUGUAUUUUUUAUAAGAUCGGACCUGCCCAUUGAUUGAUAUUAAAAGGCUGCGGUAUUUUAACUGUACGAAGGUAGCAUAAUCAUUUGUCUUUUAAUUGAAGGCUCGUAUGAAUGGUUUGAUGAAAUAUAGACUUUCUUUUAUUAAUUUAAUUGAAUUUAAUUUUUUAGUUAAAAAGCUAAAAUUUUUUUAUAGGACGAGAAGACCCUAUAGAAGUUUACUAUUUAUUUAAUUUUUAAUUUUUUGUUUAUAAAAUUACUUUUUAUUAUGCAUAGUUUUGUUGGGGUGACAUUAAAAUUUAUAUAACUUUUAAUUUUUAUUUCAUUAAUUUAUGUUUUUUUGAUCCAGAAUUUUUGAUUAAAAGAUUAACUUACCUUAGGGAUAACAGCGUAAUUUUUUUGGAGAGUUCUUAUCGAUAAAAAAGUUUGCGACCUCGAUGUUGAAUUAAGAUUAGAAGUGGGCGUAAAAUUUCAUUUUUCUUGGUCUGUUCGACCAUUAAAUUCUUACAUGAUUUGAGUUCAGACCGGUGUGAGCCAGGUCGGUUUCUAUCCUUAUUUUUUUGUAAGUUAGUACGAAAGGACCAUUUACAAUAAUUAAAUUAUUAAUUUUGAUUAAAAUUA
This 1237-nucleotide ribosomal RNA is filed under the name Potamometra linnavuorii. RNAcentral's name for it is "16S ribosomal RNA". Lineage: Eukaryota; Metazoa; Arthropoda; Insecta; Hemiptera; Gerridae. The record is from RNAcentral.